This is a long non-coding RNA of Strongylocentrotus purpuratus (purple sea urchin), 812 nucleotides long. RefSeq lists it as uncharacterized. Lineage: Eukaryota; Metazoa; Echinodermata; Echinoidea; Camarodonta; Strongylocentrotidae. The transcript has 4 exons. The record is from RefSeq and is a predicted model, not a curated record.
GGAUACUACAGUGUAUCACCUGAUCCAGAAGAAAGACUCCUAUCAACUCUAAACAAUGGCUUCCAAGCUCCUUCUCGUUCUCGCCUUCGCCUCCAUCGCUCUCAUCCUGGUAGCUUCAGCCUUGGAUGAAUUCGAUGUGGAAGUGGUGAAUGAUGACGGAUAUAAACGUGAUCCUGAUCUCAUCAUCGGUAUGGAAGACAUGGAGAAGAGAGGAAAAGGACGUCCACUCAUGUUCCAAUACAGCUGGCCGAGAACCGCGUUUGGCCGUGGGAAGAAGUAAAUAGCUGACACCGUCGAGGAAUAUCUCAACUGGAUAUGAGGAUGCAUACCUUUCCCAACACUCCUCACCAAACGUUAACUUUAAUUUCCUGGCGUUUUUUUUAUGUUGUUUUGUUUCGAAAGCAGAAUCGGUUAUUGGUUAAUUUCGUUUUUGCAUUAGUCACGUGAAGCACCAUUCUUAACUGGGCUUGACACAAAUUCAACAAUAAAGGUCUUCCUAAGAGAAACAAAAGUAUGUCAUGGUGGAUAAGGAUUGUGUUUGCAUGUACCUGUGGCUAUUUGAUUAGUUCAAAAAGCAUUUAAAACAUUUCCUUUUAAUUUUGCCCUGGUUUGUACCAUCUUUGUGACUGACUGAAUGCGAAGCAUAAUGCCAGGAAGAGUUUUCCAAUGAAUCUCCUAACAAGCGGGAUGUUUAUUUAUCUAUUCAUAUUUAUAUUGUUAUAUUGGGCCUUCCUCACCAUUACAAUAAUUUUCAAAUAUUAUAUUACAUGUAUCACCUUUAAUAGAAGCUACUAUCGAAUUUUCUAAUGUAU